RNAcentral lists this microRNA precursor (136 nucleotides) under Hordeum vulgare. RNAcentral's name for it is "microRNA MIR1122". It matches the Rfam family "MIR1120/MIR1122 microRNA precursor family". The record is from RNAcentral. Lineage: Eukaryota; Viridiplantae; Streptophyta; Magnoliopsida; Poales; Poaceae.
CUAGUACUCCAUCUGUCUUAAAAUUAUUGUCUUCGGUUUAUGUGAAAAUGGAUGUAUCAAAAUACUAAAACGUGACUAGAUACAUUAACAUCUAGACAAAUUUAAGAUAAUAAUUUUAGGACGGAGGGAGUAUAAA